GCCCAGGUGGUGAAAUGGUAGACACGCCAGUUUCAGGUACUGGUGCCGCAAGGUGUGGGGGUUCGAGUCCCCCCUUGGGCA
This 81-nucleotide transfer RNA is filed under the name Armatimonas rosea. It matches the Rfam family "tRNA". Rfam says of the family: Transfer RNA (tRNA) molecules are approximately 80 nucleotides in length. Their secondary structure includes four short double-helical elements and three loops (D, anti-codon, and T loops). RNAcentral also lists the same sequence under 1 other name. Lineage: Bacteria; Bacillati; Armatimonadota; Armatimonadia; Armatimonadales; Armatimonadaceae. The record is from Rfam by way of RNAcentral.